UCGCGGCUUAUCACCGGCAGUCCCCUUAGAGUGCCCAACUGAAUGAUGGCAACUAAGGGCGAGGGUUGCGCUCGUUGCGGGACUUAACCCAACAUCUCACGACACGAGCUGACGACAGCCAUGCAGCACCUGAACCAGAGGUCCCCGAAGGGAAGACCCUAUUUCUAGGGCUGUCCGAUGUUGUCUAGCCCAGGUAAGGUUCUUCGCGUUGCGUCGAAUUAAACCACAUGCUCCACCGCUUGUGCGGGCCCCCGUCAAUUCCUUUGAGUUUCAGCCCUGCGACCGUACUCCCCAGGCGGGGCACUUAAUGCGUUAGCUUCGGCACUGCAGGGGUCGAUACCCGCAACACCAAGUGCCCAUCGUUUACAGCUAGGACUAC
RNAcentral lists this unclassified non-coding RNA (379 nucleotides) under uncultured bacterium. RNAcentral's name for it is "contains 16S-23S intergenic spacer region". The record is from RNAcentral.